UCUGCCAUAAAGCCCCGACUUGUGGAGGGCUGCAGUGAUAGUUGACUUUGUGGAACUUUCUCCCAUCUCCCUACUGCAUCUCUGGAGCUCAGCCACAGUGAUCUUUGGGUUCUUCUUUACCUCUCUCACCAAGGCUCUUCUCCCACGAUUGCUCAGUUUGGCUGGACGGCCAGGUCUAGGAAGAGUUCUGGUCAUCCCAGACUUCUUCCAUUUAAGGAUUAUGGAGGCCACUGUGCUCUUAGGAACCUUGAGUGCUGCAGAAAUUCUUUUGUAACCUUGGCCAGAUCUGUGCCUUGCCACAAUUCUGUCUCUGAGCUCCUUGGGCAGUUCCUUCGACCUCAUGAUUCUCAUUUGCUCUGACAUGCACUGUGAGCUGUAAGGUCUUAUAUAGACAGGUGUGUGCCUUUCCUAAUCAAGUCCAAUCAGUUUAAUUAAACACAGCUAGACUCCAAUGAAGGAGCAGAACCACCUCAAGGAGGAUCAGAAGAAAUGGACAGCAUGUGAGUUAAAUAUGAGUGUCACAGCAAAGGGUCUGAAUACUUAUGACCAUGUGAUAUUUCAGUUUUUCUUUUUUAAUAAAUUUGCAAAAAUUUCUACAUUUCUGUUUUUUUCUGUCAAGAUGGGGUGCUGAGUGUACAUUAAUGAGAAAUAAAAUGAACUUUUUUGAUUUUAGCAAAUGGCUGCAAUGAAACAAGGAGUGAAAAUUUUAAAGGGGUCUGAAUACUUUCGGUACCCACUGUAUAUACACAUAUAUAUAAUGGAUCCUGGUGGAGCCUCCUACCAUGGUACUGCUUGACUGCCAUUGCCAAUAUCACUGAUAUUAGUGUUGUUAUUAUUAUUAUAAGUAUUAUUAUAGCUACGGUUACUGUCAUUGUCAGUCACUACUAUUAGUGUAGUUGUUCUACUGUUGUUGCUAUGCACCUGUCUGUCUGUCUGUCUGUCUCUCUCUCUGUCUCUCUUUCUCUCUCUCCCUCUCUCUCUCUCACCCCAACUGGUCGAGGCAGACGACCACCCACCUAGAGCCGAAGGGUCUGUCCUAGGUUUCUGACUCUUAAAAGGACGUUUUUCCUUACUGCUGUCGGACAGAGUCAGUUCAAUCAGUCUUCCUUACUAUGCUUUCCACAGUUUACGCUGCUUGUGUCAGCCAGCCCUCUAACUAUCACAGCCAACCACACAUCCCCAGACGGCCUUCAGGCUGAGAAAAUAACCAUCACCUUAAGUCCCAUCAUACUGACCAAUGGCUGCUGUGUGUCUGUGAGUAUCACUGAUGCUUAUUUGAUAACAAUGAAUUUCAUUAUUGAAGGAGAAAAAGAAGAAAAAUAUAAAUCAUUUUAGUUUUUAAAUCUAGAAGCAAUAUGUUAAAGGAUACUAGAUUACUUUUUCUUACUGUCAACAACUUCUAUGAAAAGACCAAAACAGUAUGACAACAACGUGUUAGUCUGUCACUCAAAACCCUCAAACGUCCCUACUGUGGCACUGCAAGCUCAACUGGUUAGAGAGAGCAGAGCCAUCCUCAUUUCCCAUUGUGUUCAAACUCCAAACAUUGUAAACUGAAGAGAACUGAAUUGAACACAAAUAUAAAGGAUGUUCAUCAUGUGACUAAACAGACAGUACAGUCAGAAGAAUAAGUGCAUUGAUGAUUUUAGAUGGAUUCCUGGCAAAUAGUAAAAAGAUAAAGCAAUGUUAUUGUUCUCUUUAAAGGGCUUUAAAGGCUCUGAGGAGGACAAACAAAUGUAGCUAUGUAGCUGUGACACUGGAGCUGGAUAUAAUUCCAGUUUGGAUCUGUGUGUGAUGACAGACCGGAUGAUGUUAAGGACAACAAAGUGUGUGUGAUGCUGCUGCAGAUGAGGACACUUUUGGAAACAGAUAGAGACAGACAAAAAGGAAAACAAACACAUGACGGAUUUAUUAGUAUAUUACAUCAAAUGCAUCUAAAUAAAUGACAUCAAAAGCUCUGAACACCUCCGGAUAGAUUUCAAUCAACAAUGAAGACACGCUGACUCACUCAUCCACACACAAACGUCAGACGUCUGUCUCCAGUAUCUGACGUUGUCUCCACGGCGCAUAGGACAUACACAACUUUUAGCGUUUGUUAAAUAAUGGCCCGCACGCCAUCUUUGUCCUAUACUUUCAAUGUUAAACUCGACGACCCUGCAGCCCCUCAGUAACCAGUUUUUCUCAAUCACUACAUCAUUAUUCAGACUUGUGUCACCUGUCACAUGCUCUCUGAGUAUAAUUAAUCAUCUAUAAUCAUUUUACACUGAGAUAAGGAGUGUAAUGCAGGUUUAAUAUUCCCAUGCUGUUCUGGGGAAUAUUUUCAACCAACACCAUGAAAUGAGUCCUCUAUGUAUUUCUGAACCUUUAUAAUGGAGUGUACUAUCUGUUAUGCUACUCUAUUGAAGAAUAAUAUAGAGCAAACAUGUGUCAGUCAGCAGCUCUACUGUGUUUUACCAUAGCGCUCAUCCAGCAAACGGAGGAUGCCUACAGUCAGCAGGUAUUUCUCACGCUGUAAACCAGAGGAGGCCAUUGUUUCCUCACUGCAACAGCUGCUUUCUCACUUCCAGAUGUCUGCACUCCAACACAGAUGUUUUCUUAACUGAGAUAUUUACUUUAAACAAAUGAGCACUUGUUCCACAGUUGAAGAGUUUCACUGUCAACAGUUGAGCUCCUGUCUGUCAGCGAUUGUUAUUAUUAUUAGAUCAAAACCCCAGUAGCUCUAUACAGGCCGCAGCUGAAAUGGAAAUCAGUCGAUCAAUAGAAAACUUUUUUAAACAUUUGAUCAUCAGUGACAGGUUACGGAUACAUUGAAUGAUGAACAGAAAUAUAAUCAAUAUCUAUUCUGAUAACAAAUUCAUUGUUUCAGUAAUUUUUCAGGUAAAAAUUAUAUUUUGUGGUUCCAGCUUCAAACGUAAGAAUUUCUCUUCUGUUUUGUGAUUUCAGGUCUGCCAUUCUUCUUCUUCUUCUUCUUCUUCUUCUUCUUCUUCUUCUUCUUCUACUUAUUAUUAUUAGUAGUAUUAUUAGUCUGUGUUUAUGUAAACAAAGUUAUUGUGUAAAACAUUUAUGGCUCCAUGUAAAGCAGUUUUCAUUAUUACUGUAGUUCUACUGACUGUAUAUUUGAAAAAGGAUGCAUUCAGUUAGUCAUAUCCAUUCAUCUGCACAACAAUGUGUGUAAACUGGAGACAAUCGUUCUGUCUCUUUAUUUCCAUUUCCGUCUGUCAGAGCAGUUUUUAUUAAUUGUCGGCAUAGCCAAACUCCUAUUUCUAUGUCGGUCGGAUACACUCCAGAAUAAAAGUUGUCUUUCAGUGGAUUUUCAAUGGAAUACCUGUAUACGGUAUAUAUACUGAAAUCCUGCCAUCAGCAGCAGGAAUUCAUUGACCCUCUGUGCUUUUACUUUAAGCAAAUAUCCAAACUCCAUUUCCUGUUGAAUCCAAAUCCAUUGUGUGUGUCAGCAGGAUUAUUACAGGGAGCUAUCACUCUAUAUUCAUGCUGAACAUUAGUGCCAUUGUUGUGCAUAUUAAUGGAUAUGACUAACUGAAUACAGCCUGUUUAAAAUAUACAGUCAACAGAACACACAGUAAGAAAUAUAAUAAUAAUAAUAAUAAUAAUAAUUUUUGCAGUAUGUAUAAAUGUAAAUGCAUUAAAUUACAAAAUGAUUCAGUUUCAUAUCUGACAAAGAAAACAACUAAUUCUCACAUUUGAAGGAACCACAAUAUAACCUCAAACAAUUAAUCUGUUAUUAGAAAAGAUAUUGAUUACAUAAUAUCAAAAUAUAUUAUAUUGUAGAUACUGUUCAUGAACCAAUCAAUUAAUGAUAAUUUCAGUUUCACCUAUAAUCAGAUUCAAGAUCUUAAAUCUCAAAUACAACGAAAUCUUCAUUAAUGUUAUUGUCAUUGUUAUUAUUUUAUGAUUAUUGAUGAAUAAUCCAAUAUUAUUUUCCUAAUUAGAGCUCACAUCUGUAUUGUGUUGAUCAAAUGUUUAAAACCGUUUUCAAUCGAUCAACUAAUUGUGUUCAGUCUUGUGUUCCAGCUGCAGCCGUGGUUUAAUCAGGCUUUUGGAGCCCGGCAGUGUCUAUAGAGAGGAAACUAUAUGAUAAAUAUAUAUAUAAACUCAGGUUAUUGCUAUUAUUUCCUUCUUUUUUCUGUGUGUAAAUCCAUCACCACCUGGUGAGCAACCUUUACAGUUCAGUUACCAUCCACACAAACUUUAUUGUUAUUGUUUGCCUUCCAUUCUAUGUAUUCAUACAGAGCCCGGGCGUGACAAUAGAGAGUAAAAAUAGAUAUUGUGGCCACGUUUUACUACAGCAUGCACUCCAAAUGCUAUUGUGUGCACGUGAGCUACAAUCUGUUCCCACGUUUUGAUUAAUUUGUGCGCACAAGACUAAAUCAAAGCAGCACAACAGAGCAGCCUUUCUCUCCAAAGCAUGAAGUGCUGUGCUCCUGUUUCAACUGGUAUUAUAGAAGGCAUGUUGUGGGCCCCCACAUUCACCAACUACACUGACAAUGAAGGACUAAACUAUUAAAUGAACCGAACUUGGCCAUUUCUUCACCAUAAUAAACCCUCCAUUGAACACAUAGGUAGGCACUGACAGGCACUGCCUCCAAUAACUCAUGGUUUAGUUGUGGGUUGUUAUGUGGGAUUGUGAUAGAGAUUGUAAAAUGUAAACGUUACAGUAAACAUCUGGAAAUGGUGAAUGUACACACUUAUUAACCACAGCCUAAGAGAUCCAUCCACAUAAUUUUACUCAUUGAUAGCAAUGAGCUACCAAACUGUAGCACUAACCUAUAAAAUGGAGCUGACAUCAGUUCUUCAGCUAAAUGAACUGCAUCCUAUAAAAUGCAGUUUCCUAUUUCAGUCAGGACCACUUUUGUCAAAUAACUUUUAUUCCGAAGCAGAAUGUUACAUUUGGUGGUAUGGCUCUGUUCUGGGACCUCCUUGCCUUUCCACGUGCCUACGUGGAAAACCUUAAGGCAGUAAGAGCACACCUCCAUGUCCUUCCAUGUGUCUACGUGGAAAAGUUUAAGACAAGGAGAGCGGCAGCAGAGACCCCCCAGGGUAUAGAACAGAGCAAGCAUCAAUGGCAAUCAGAAAAUUACACUGAUUAAUUACAUACAACAUAAAAGGAGGAGCUGGGUUGGAGGUGGGUUGCAAAACAGCUUGUAGAGGAAGCAGCAAAGAUACGCAAGCUAUCUUAAAUAAGACGCCCUGAAUGAUAUUCGCCAAUUGGAUGCUUGAGGGAAUCAGCUGAGCUGUCAGCUGAUGUGUGAUCCACGGAAUGGCGCCGGCGACAACGGCAGCCUGUUAUGGCAGCUCCUAUCAUUGUUGUAGUUUCAGUGUGUUUUCAGUGUGUUUUUUGCUAUUUUUUAACUGUUUUCUUACUUUCUUACUACUUUGUUCACGUCGCCUAAAUACUUUUUGGGCUUUUUUGAGCACUUUUUAUUUUUUGUUUGCACGGGGCUCCAUGGCGACGGGAGUCGCAAUAUUUACACCCGCGACCAGGAGGCGAGGCUGCAGAGCGGUCCCGACAGGGACACCACUGCGACCGGCAAGAAGAAAGGAGGGGGACUGUCCGUGCUCAUAAACAACAGGUGGUGCAACGUCUGUGUGAAAGAGCGUGUCUGCAGCCCGGACAUCGAGCUUGUCGCCGUCGGACUUCGUCCAUAUUAUCUGCCACAGGAAUUUUCCAGUAUUAUCGCCAUCACUGUCUAUAUUCCUCACAGUGGUCUUCAUCAUCACCAUCACUGUUUACAUUUAUGAUGUCUUAUUUAUUCUCCUGUACAGCACUUGGUUGUUUUUAAAGUGCUUAAAAAAUAAAGUUGGAUUGGAUUGGA
Long non-coding RNA from Dicentrarchus labrax (European seabass), 5828 nucleotides. RefSeq lists it as uncharacterized. Lineage: Eukaryota; Metazoa; Chordata; Actinopteri; Moronidae. The transcript is spliced from 2 exons. The record is from RefSeq and is a predicted model, not a curated record.